RNAcentral lists this ribosomal RNA (1352 nucleotides) under uncultured bacterium. RNAcentral's name for it is "bacterial SSU rRNA". It matches the Rfam family "Bacterial small subunit ribosomal RNA", at positions 28 to 1381 of the family's 1533-position model. The record is from RNAcentral.
GAUGAACGCUGGCGGCGUGCUUAACACAUGCAAGUCGAACGGAGUACCCCUGAAGGAGUUUUCGGACAACUGAUGGGACUACUUAGUGGCGGACGGGUGAGUAACGCGUGAGUAACCUGCCUUGGAGUGGGGAAUAACAGCUGGAAACAGCUGCUAAUACCGCAUAAUAUAUCUGUGUCGCAUGGCAGUGGAUAUCAAAGAUUUAUCGCUCUGAGAUGGACUCGCGUCUGAUUAGCUAGUUGGCGGGGUAACGGCCCACCAAGGCGACGAUCAGUAGCCGGACUGAGAGGUUGGCCGGCCACAUUGGGACUGAGACACGGCCCAGACUCCUACGGGAGGCAGCAGUGGGGAAUAUUGGGCAAUGGGCGCAAGCCUGACCCAGCAACGCCGCGUGAAGGAAGAAGGCCUUCGGGUUGUAAACUUCUUUUCUCAGGGACGAAGCAAGUGACGGUACCUGAGGAAUAAGCCACGGCUAACUACGUGCCAGCAGCCGCGGUAAUACGUAGGUGGCAAGCGUUAUCCGGAUUUACUGGGUGUAAAGGGCGUGUAGGCGGGACUGCAAGUCAGAUGUGAAAACCACGGGCUCAACCUGUGGCCUGCAUUUGAAACUGUAGUUCUUGAGUACUGGAGAGGCAGACGGAAUUCCUAGUGUAGCGGUGAAAUGCGUAGAUAUUAGGAGGAACACCAGUGGCGAAGGCGGUCUGCUGGACAGCAACUGACGCUGAGGCGCGAAAGCGUGGGGAGCAAACAGGAUUAGAUACCCUGGUAGUCCACGCUGUAAACGAUGGAUACUAGGUGUGGGGGGACUGACCCCCUCCGUGCCGCAGUUAACACAAUAAGUAUCCCACCUGGGGAGUACGAUCGCAAGGUUGAAACUCAAAGGAAUUGACGGGGGCCCGCACAAGCGGUGGAGUAUGUGGUUUAAUUCGAAGCAACGCGAAGAACCUUACCAGGGCUUGACAUCCCGGUGACCGCUGUAGAGAUACAGUUUUCCCUUCGGGGACACUGGUGACAGGUGGUGCAUGGUUGUCGUCAGCUCGUGUCGUGAGAUGUUGGGUUAAGUCCCGCAACGAGCGCAACCCUUAUUGUUAGUUGCUACGCAAGAGCACUCUAGCGAGACUGCCGUUGACAAAACGGAGGAAGGUGGGGACGACGUCAAAUCAUCAUGCCCCUUAUGUCCUGGGCCACACACGUACUACAAUGGUGGUCAACAGAGGGAAGCAAUACCGCGAGGUGGAGCAAAUCCCUAAAAGCCAUCCCAGUUCGGAUCGCAGGCUGCAACCCGCCUGCGUGAAGUUGGAAUCGCUAGUAAUCGCGGAUCAGCAUGCCGCGGUGAAUACGUUCCCGGGCCU